UUUGAAAUCUGGCGCCUUCGGCGUCCGAGUUGUAAUUUGGAGAGGCAUCUUCGGGUGGGGAGCAGGCCUAUGUUCCUUGGAACAGGACGUCACAGAGGGUGAGAAUCCCGUGCACGGCCGGCUGUCCCCGUCCAUGUGAAGUGUCUUCGACGAGUCGAGUUGUUUGGGAAUGCAGCUCAAAAUGGGUGGUAAAUUUCAUCUAAAGCUAAAUAUUGGCGAGAGACCGAUAGCGCACAAGUAGAGUGAUCGAAAGAUGAAAAGCACUUUGAAAAGAGAGUUAAAAAGUACGUGAAAUUGUUGAAAGGGAAGCGCUUGAGACCAGACUUGACCUGGGGUGAUCAGCAGUCCUUCUGGGCUGUGCACUCGCCUCAGCGUCGGGCCAGCAUCGGUUGGGACGGCAGGAUAAAGGUCGCGGGAAUGUGGCUCCCCUCGGGGAGUGUUAUAGCCCGUGGCGCAAUGCUGCCUGCCCCGACCGAGGACCGCGCUUCGGCUAGGAUGCUGGCGUAAUGGUCUUCAGCGACCCGUCUUGAAACACGGACCAAGGAGUCUAACAUCUAUGCGAGUGUUUGGGUGGAAAACCCUUGCGCGUAAUGAAAGUGAACGGAGGUGGGAGCCCUCAAGGGUGCACCAUCGACCGAUCCUGAUGUCUUCGGAUGGAUUUGAGUAGGAGCAUAGCUGUUGGGACCCGAAAGAUGGUGAACUAUGCCUGAAUAGGGUGAAGCCAGAGGAAACUCUGGUGGAGGCUCGCAGCGGUUCUGACGUGCAAAUCGAUCGUCAAAUUUGGGUAUAGGGGCGAAAGACUAAUCGAACC
RNAcentral lists this ribosomal RNA (811 nucleotides) under Rhizina undulata. Its description in RNAcentral is "eukaryotic LSU rRNA". It matches the Rfam family "Eukaryotic large subunit ribosomal RNA", at positions 114 to 941 of the family's 3401-position model. The record is from RNAcentral. Lineage: Eukaryota; Fungi; Ascomycota; Pezizomycetes; Pezizales; Rhizinaceae.